This 253-nucleotide ribosomal RNA is filed under the name uncultured bacterium. RNAcentral's name for it is "partial 16S ribosomal RNA". It matches the Rfam family "Bacterial small subunit ribosomal RNA", at positions 524 to 776 of the family's 1533-position model. The record is from RNAcentral.
UACGUAGGGUGCAGGCGUUAAUCGGAAUUACUGGGCGUAAAGCGUGCGCAGGCGGUGCACCAAGCUCGAUGUGAAAGCCCCGGGCUUAACCUGGGAAUUGCAUUGAGGACUGGUGUGCUCGAGUGCGGCAGAGGGGGGUGGAAUUCCACGUGUAGCAGUGAAAUGCGUAGAGAUGUGGAGGAACACCGAUGGCGAAGGCAGCCCCCUGGGCCGACACUGACGCUCAUGCACGAAAGCGUGGGGAGCAAACAGG